UUGCCCUAGUAACGGCGAGUGAAGCGGCAACAGCUCAAAUUUGAAAUCUGGCUUCGGCCCGAGUUGUAAUUUGUAGAGGGAGCUUUUGGCGAGGCACCUACUGAGUCCCCUGGAACGGGGCGCCAUAGAGGGUGAGAGCCCCGUAUAGUAGGACGCCGAGCCUUUGUAAAGCCCCUUCGACGAGUCGAGUAGUUUGGGAAUGCUGCUCAAAAUGGGAGGUAAAUUUCUUCUAAAGCUAAAUAUUGGCCAGAGACCGAUAGCGCACAAGUAGAGUGAUCGAAAGAUGAAAAGCACUUUGAAAAGAGGGUUAAACAGCACGUGAAAUUGUUGAAAGGGAAGCGCUUGUGACCAGACUUGCGCCUGGCUGAUCAUCCGGUGUUCUCACCGGUGCACUCGGCCAGGCUCAGGCCAGCAUCGGUUCUCGCGGGGGGAUAAAGACCUGGGGAACGUAGCUCCUCCGGGAGUGUUAUAGCCCUGGGUGCAACGCCCUCGCGGGGACCGAGGUUCGCGCAUCUGCAAGGAUGCUGGCGUAAUGGUCAUCAGCGACCCGUCUUGAAACACGGACCAAGGAGUCAAGGUUUUGCGCGAGUGUUUGGGUGUUAAACCCGCACGCGUAAUGAAAGUGAACGUAGGUGAGAGCUUCGGCGCAUCAUCGACCGAUCCUGAUGUUUUCGGAUGGAUUUGAGUAGGAGCGUUAAGCCUUGGACCCGAAAGAUGGUGAACUAUGCUUGGAUAGGGUGAAGCCAGAGGAAACUCUGGUGGAGGCUCGCAGCGGUUCUGACGUGCAAAUCGAUCGUCAAAUCUGAGCAUGGGGGCGAAAGACUAAUCGAACCAUCUAGUAGCUGGUUACCGCCGAAGUUUCCCUCAGGAUAGCAGUGUUGUUCUUCAGUUUUAUGAGGUAAAGCGAAUGAUUAGGGACUCGGGGGCGCUUUUUAGCCUUCAUCCAUUCUCAAACUUUAAAUAUGUAAGAAGCCCUUGUUACUUAAUUGAACGUGGGCAUU
This 1001-nucleotide ribosomal RNA is filed under the name Arnium leporinum. Its description in RNAcentral is "LSU rRNA". It matches the Rfam family "Eukaryotic large subunit ribosomal RNA", at positions 75 to 1109 of the family's 3401-position model. The record is from RNAcentral. Lineage: Eukaryota; Fungi; Ascomycota; Sordariomycetes; Sordariales; Lasiosphaeriaceae.